This 1400-nucleotide ribosomal RNA is filed under the name metagenome. Its description in RNAcentral is "bacterial SSU rRNA". It matches the Rfam family "Bacterial small subunit ribosomal RNA". The record is from RNAcentral.
GUCGAACGAAGAGGCCCCUUCGGGGGUACUUCAGUGGCGGACGGGUGAGUAACACGUAGGCGACCUGCCCCGAAGCAGGGGAUAACGGCUCGAAAGGGCCGCUAAUACCCAAGAGGAUCGCGUAUCGAAGCGCGAUCAGAGUUACGGCGUUUCGGGAGGGGCCUGCGGCCCAUCAGCUAGUUGGUAGGGUAAUGGCCUACCAAGGCGACGACGGGUAGGGGGCCUGAGAGGGUGAUCCCCCACAUUGGCACUGACACACGGGCCAAACUCCUACGGGAGGCAGCAGUGAGGAAUAUUGCACAAUGAGCGAAAGCCAGAUGCAGCAACGCCGCGUGGAUGAUGAAGGCCUUCGGGUCGUAAAAUCCUUUUCAGAGGGACGAGUGAGGACGGUACCUCUGGAAUAAGUCACGGCUAACUACGUGCCAGCAGCCGCGGUAAAACGUAGGUGGCGAGCGUUAUCCGGAUUCACUGGGCGUAAAGCGCCUGCAGGCGGUCGCGUAAGUGGGGUGUGAAAUCUCCCGGCUUAACUGGGAGGGUCAUUCCAUACUGCGGGACUGGAGGGCAGAAGAGGAAAGUGGAAUUCCCGGUGUAGUGGUGAAAUGCGUAGAUAUCGGGAGGAACACCAGUGGCGAAGGCGACUUUCUGGUCUGCACCUGACGCUAAGAGGCGAAAGCUAGGGGAGCGAACGGGAUUAGAAACCCCGGUAGUCCUAGCCAUAAACGUUGGAUACUAGGUGUUGGUGGUCCUAACCCCAUCAGUGCCGAAGCAAACGCGUUAAGUAUCCCGCCUGGGGACUACGGCCGCAAGGUUAAAACUCAAAGGAAUUGACGGGGGCCCGCACAAGCAGCGGAGCGUGUGGUUUAAUUCGAUCCAACACGAAGAACCUUACCCAGGUUUGACAUGCAAGUAGUAGUGAAGCGAAAGUGGAACGACCCUUCGGGGAGCUUGCACAGGUGCUGCAUGGCUGUCGUCAGCUCGUGCCGUGAGGUGUUGGGUUAAGUCCCCUAACGAGCGCAACCCUCGCCGUCAGUUAUACGUGUCUGGCGGGACUGCCGGUCUAAAACCGGAGGAAGGUGGGGAUGACGUCAAGUCAGCAUGGCCUUUAUAUCUGGGGCUACACACACGCUACAAUGGCCAGAACAAUAGGUUGCCAACCCGCGAGGGGGAGCCAAUCCUAAAAAGCUGGUCUCAGUUCGGAUUGGAGGCUGCAACCCGCCUCCAUGAAGUCGGAGUUGCUAGUAAACGCAGGUCAGCUAUACUGCGUUGAAUACGUUCCCGGGCCUUGUACACACCGCCCGUCACGUCAUGGGAGCUGGUAACACCUGAAGCCGGUGCGCUAACCGCAAGGAGGCAGCCGUCGAGGGUGGGACUGGUGACUGGGACGAAGUCGUAACAAGGUA